AUUGAACGCUGGCGGCAUGCCUUACACAUGCAAGUCGAACGGCAGCACGGGAGCAAUCCUGGUGGCGAGUGGCGAACGGGUGAGUAAUAUAUCGGAACGUGCCCGGUCGUGGGGAUAACGUAGCGAAAGCUACGCUAAUACCGCAUACGAUCUACGGAUGAAAGCGGGGGAUCGCAAGACCUCGCGCGAUUGGAGCGGCCGAUAUCAGAUUAGGUAGUUGGUGAGGUAAAGGCUCACCAAGCCGACGAUCUGUAGCUGGUCUGAGAGGACGACCAGCCACACUGGGACUGAGACACGGCCCAGACUCCUACGGGAGGCAGCAGUGGGGAAUUUUGGACAAUGGGCGCAAGCCUGAUCCAGCAAUGCCGCGUGCAGGAUGAAGGCCUUCGGUUGGUAACUAGCUUUGUUACGG
RNAcentral lists this ribosomal RNA (412 nucleotides) under uncultured bacterium. Its description in RNAcentral is "bacterial SSU rRNA". It matches the Rfam family "Bacterial small subunit ribosomal RNA", at positions 30 to 443 of the family's 1533-position model. The record is from RNAcentral.